GUGCCGUGCUCGCAAGACGUCCUGCUCAAUUCUGUGAGAAACACAAGCAACAUAGUGUCUACCCGAAAUUUCAAGAGACAUGAGAGAGAAAGGCGAGCUGAGCUAGGCGUUAGUGGUCAGGAUGACCGUUUGCUAUGCAUUGCAAACGGGCGAGACGGAAGAGAUGGAAGAGACGGACCAGAUGGACAAAAUAGCGCUAAAGUACUUAACUGCUAGAAAUACAGUUUGUCGUAAUU
This is a long non-coding RNA of Corticium candelabrum, 236 nucleotides long. RefSeq lists it as uncharacterized. The record is from RefSeq and is a predicted model, not a curated record. The transcript has 3 exons. NCBI's taxonomy places the organism in Eukaryota, Metazoa, Porifera, Homoscleromorpha, Homosclerophorida, Plakinidae.